UGGGGAAUAUUGGACAAUGGGCGAAAGCCUGAUCCAGCCAUGCCGCGUGUGUGAAGAAGGUCUUCGGAUUGUAAAGCACUUUAAGUUGGGAGGAAGGGUUGUAACCUAAUACGUUGCAACUUUGACGUUACCGACAGAAUAAGCACCGGCUAACUUCGUGCCAGCAGCCGCGGUAAUACGAAGGGUGCAAGCGUUAAUCGGAAUUACUGGGCGUAAAGCGCGCGUAGGUGGUUUGAUAAGUUGGAUGUGAAAGCCCCGGGCUCAACCUGGGAAUUGCAUCCAAAACUGUCUGACUAGAGUACGGUAGAGGGUAGUGGAAUUUCCUGUGUAGCGGUGAAAUGCGUAGAUAUAGGAAGGAACACCAGUGGCGAAGGCGACUACCUGGACUGAUACUGACACU
This 400-nucleotide ribosomal RNA is filed under the name uncultured bacterium. RNAcentral describes it as "bacterial SSU rRNA". It matches the Rfam family "Bacterial small subunit ribosomal RNA", at positions 355 to 747 of the family's 1533-position model. The record is from RNAcentral.